AGUGAACGCUGGCGGUAGGCCUAACACAUGCAAGUCGAACGGCAGCACAGUAAGAGCUUGCUCUUACGGGUGGCGAGUGGCGUACGGGUGAGGAAUACAUCGGAAUCUACUUUUUCUUGUGGGUUAACGUAGGGAAACUUACGCUAAUACCGCAUACGACCUACGGGUUAAAUCAUUGGAUCUUCGGACCUUGCGCUUUUUAAUUAGCCGAUUUCGGAUUAGUUAGUUGGCUGGGUAAAGGCCCACCAAGGCGACGAUCCGUAGCUGGUCUGAGAGGAUGAUCAGCAAAACUGGAACUGAGACACGGACCAGAAUCCUACGGGAGGAAGCAGUGGGGAAUAUUGGAGAAUGGGGGCAAGCCUGAUACAGCAAAACCGCGUGGGUGAAGAAGGACUUCGGGUUGUAAAGCACUUUUGUUGGGAAAGAAAAGAAGCAGGUUAAUACCCCGCUGUUCUGACGGUACCCAAAGAAUAAGCACCGGCUAACUUCGUG
This 492-nucleotide ribosomal RNA is filed under the name uncultured bacterium. RNAcentral describes it as "partial 16S ribosomal RNA". It matches the Rfam family "Bacterial small subunit ribosomal RNA", at positions 29 to 507 of the family's 1533-position model. The record is from RNAcentral.